GACGAACGCUGGCGGCGUGCUUAACACAUGCAAGUCGAACGGGAUUUUUGUGGUUAUUCUUUGGGGAAUGGACAUGAAAUGAAGGUGGCGAACGGAGGAGUAACACGUUAGCAACCUACCUUACACAGGGGAAUGGCCGUUGUAAACGACGAGUAAUACCGCAUGAUAGCGCGGAAUGGAAUGAUAUAGCGGUCAAAGAUUGAGCUGUGUAAGAAGGGCUCGCGUGUGAUUUGCUAGUUGGAAGGGUAAAUGCCUACCAAGGGGACGAUCAGUAGCCGGUCUGAGAGGAAGAACGGCCACAUUGGAACUGAGACACGGUCCAAACUCCUACGGGAAGCAGCAGUGGGGAAUAUUGCACAAUGGGGGGAACCCUGAUGCAGCGACGCCGGGUGAGCGAAGAAGGUUUUCGAAUCGUAAAGCUCUGUCCUAUGAGAAGAUAAUGACGGUAUCAUAGGAGGAAGCCCCGGCUAAAUACGUG
This 478-nucleotide ribosomal RNA is filed under the name uncultured bacterium. RNAcentral's name for it is "partial 16S ribosomal RNA". It matches the Rfam family "Bacterial small subunit ribosomal RNA", at positions 28 to 507 of the family's 1533-position model. The record is from RNAcentral.